RNAcentral lists this long non-coding RNA (1234 nucleotides) under Equus caballus (horse). RNAcentral's name for it is "lncRNA (ENSECAG00000054596.1)". Lineage: Eukaryota; Metazoa; Chordata; Mammalia; Perissodactyla; Equidae. The record is from RNAcentral.
AGUGCGACUGAGGACGUAGGGGAGGCUCAGAGCGGAAAAGUACUGAAUACUGCGUCAGAGUGGAGGAGAAUGCCUUCAAGUCCGGCACCCCCAUAAAGGAGUCUCAGUAGAUGCACCUGAGAAAGGCCUUAGCUGAAAGCCUUUGGAAAAAUGACCUCUGAAUUGAGGCACCUGAGCAAGGCAGUGUAUAUUGCAGAAGAGCAUAGCGGGCCAGUGUGGCCUGAGUCCCUGACUGCAACUCCGUCCUGAGACGGCAGCGUGUUGGCUGUGCCCCAGCUCAGUGUAGCGAGGACAGCUUUCUGCUCCUGAGGCCUGCUAGUGCCUUUGGGCUUCCCGGUGAAAUCCUCUUCGGAUAGCAUCUGUCUUUCAGACCUGUCAGUCAUAACAUACUGACAUGCUGAGCCCUAAUGGUGUGUUGAGGUGGUAAAUGCCUAUCAGCCUGAGCCAUUGGGUGACCAUGUAGAUCAGACCAUCACUGGACAACUAGGGAGAGUACUUGUCAAACCAUCAGUGGACAUGUAGGACUCUGCUUGUUCAGAAAUUCUCCAGCAUGGCUGCAUCAAUGUAACAAAGCAUACCCUUUGUGCUAACCUCUGGUUGCUCAGCACUCUUGCAGGAAAAAAGCUAUCAGGAAGAAUACCUUUCAGUGCACAUUGGUGGUAUCCAGUCAUCAACAUACCCUCAAUAUUACUGAUUAUUUUUAUUUUAAUAAUUAUUAUUUUAUUAUUAGCAAAUAAAUAAUGAUAUUCAUUACUUUACAAGAGAGAGUUUCUUCUCCAUUCUUCUCAACAGUUAUUCCAAAUGUUUCUGGAAGUCCUCUGCAUUUCCUCAAGUCCUCUGCAGCUUCCUGCCAUCAUCUCUCUCAAAUGGUCAAGUGGCAUUGCUACCUUUUUUAUAGAGGAAGCAGAGAUUAUGCGACAAGAACACACAUCAUCUCCCAAAUCCACCUGCACAUUUACCUGCAAUUGCCCCUCUUCUUAAACAGCUGUCUUACAGGGAGAGCUAACCUUCCUAUUUACCCGCAUAAAUAAUUCUCCAUGCUUGUCUGUAGUCUCAACCAGGCAAGUCAGCAACUUACAGGUUCAGCACUAAAAUAUCUCGGGCAUUGUUGACUAAAUUUUGUUCCAAUAGAUUCACAUCUCAAUUUUUUAUGUUGCUCUAGGUUUCCAAUCUCAUUUCGAUGAAGAUUUAUUUAGGAAAAGAUUAAAAUAACCAUGUUUUUAAUCAUCCUCCU